RNAcentral lists this non-coding RNA (27 nucleotides) under Mus musculus (house mouse). Lineage: Eukaryota; Metazoa; Chordata; Mammalia; Rodentia; Muridae. The record is from RNAcentral.
UGNGGUUUGCAAAAGGGCUGCUGUAGU